UGGAAACUAUUUUUUAUUAAAGUAUAAUUUUAAACAUAUUAACAGCAAAAAUACACUAUUAUUUUAAUAAACAACUGAUAUGAAUGCAAUAUAUCCUAUUUACAUAACACAAAAUUCUGUUUAAACUAGAUUCAAAGCUAACUGGAAUUGAACAGAGUCAACAUACUCUAAACUAUAUACUAAGUAGUAUAUACAAUCAUUGUACAACCAGUGAACAUACAUAAGAAAUGAAGGGAAAUCUAGAACAUAAAAGAGGUCAAAAGAUACAAAAGGGACAUUCAAUAUUAAGUCACAAAAACACUGACAACCAUUUAGUAAAAAAUAAAGACAUACAACACUAUUAAAUGUCAUGCAAUGAUGAAAAAUAAUCAUAUUUUAGCAGAUCUAGAAAAUAUUUGAAGUAAAAGUCACUUUGUAUUGGACUGGUUUAAAGUAAAGCUGGUAUUGUUUUAAAUUGGACAUGUUGAAGAAGUAAAUAUUUGCAAACAAAUAUUGGUUAAAUGAUAAUAUUUCAUACAUUUGUACAUUGUAAACACAAUAACACGCAGCAUUAAUAAAAAAAAAACCACAGAUAGGACAAGAUACUCUCUUCAACACAGGAACUAAGUGUUUACACUGAAUAAUAAAGUGUAAAAGUUAAAAAAAAAAAAGGGAAUAUAAUAGAAAGGAGGACACAACAAAAGAUCAACAGGUCUUUCUGAAAAUAGAUGAGCUAUUUUUCAUUGGAUGCUUAAUGAAUGAUCAUCAACAUCAUUGUACUAAAUUAUAAUCCUGGUACCUUCGAUAACCAAUUAAUCAUACAAAUCAUAAAAGCUGACACUUUACAUAUGUCCAAUUGAAUGGUAGACCACAAAAUAAAAUUCCAUUUUUCAGUAUAUGACAAUAAUUUAAUUUAUCUAAUAUUGUUUUGGUUAAUUGAUAACCCAUCAUGUAUGUUUUUAAGUAAUUUUGGAAGCUUUUAGUAAUUGAUAGUCUGUCUAUAUUGUCUGUUUGUGUGUUCAAAAUAUAUCCAGAAGCCAACUAGACUUUCUCUGGCUUGAUUUGAAUGAAACGUAGACAGAUGGUAAGACAAUGAAGAGGGGAAGGCCAACUGAAAUAAGGUUCAAUUUCUGUUUUCUUUUGGAGGGGUAAGUUUCCUGAUGGAAACUUGAGUUUCCCUUGCUGAGCGUUGUAUCAAAAUCUUUACAGAUGCCAGCUACUGUGAAUAAGAGGACCCCUGUUACCUACAUGUUAAUUUUAUAUUUGUGCAACCAAGCUAAAAAUGAACAGCUGAUAUACUGAUUCAGCAGCAAAGAUAAAUUGGGGUGUAAACAGUCCCUGUUCAUAAUAUCUUAACUAGUUACUCAAACUAAAUAUAAGUACACUUUCCACCAACAGCAAGUAUGUAAGUUCAGUAUAAAGACUAACAGAAUUUCCAAAUAAUCAAUAUUCUAUCUAAAAAUCUAGCAUCACUAUUUUAGGUAUGAUAUGAAAAAUAGUUUUGAAUAUUGUAGUAUUGUUUUGUGAUUGGUUAACAUGUAAAUUGUAACUUCUAAUGAUUGGUUUAACUACUCAAGUGUAAGCACUAUUAAUAUGCCAUAAAAUGAUGUAUUUUCUAUUCCAUUUUAAAUCAGUCUUUGAAAUAAUAUCAGCAAUGAAGACACUUUGUGAGUCAUUCUUUUGUUAUAAUAUGUAGCAAACACUAAAACUGGUUAAUACAUAAUAGUNUAUAUCCACGAAUGCAGUUGAACAAAAGAAUCAUCACUGGAUUUGUUCUAAGUUUAAAAAUGUAUGAACAAAAUAUGUGUUGCA
Molecule: long non-coding RNA, 1791 nt
Filed under: Mytilus galloprovincialis (Mediterranean mussel)
Lineage: Eukaryota; Metazoa; Mollusca; Bivalvia; Mytilida; Mytilidae
Source: RNAcentral